CACACACUCACAGAGAGCUAUGUCCCCACAAGACAGGUGUAUACACACACACACACUCACUCACAGAGAGCUAUGUCCCCACAAGACAGGUGUAUACACACACACACACUCACUCACAGAGAGCUAUGUCCCCACAAGACAGGUGUAUACACACACACACACUCACUCACAGAGAGCUAUGUCCCCACAAGACAGGUGUAUACACACACACUCACUCACAGAGAGCAAUGUCCCCACAAGACGGGUGUAUACACACACACACACACACACACACAUACACACACUCACUCACAGAGAGCAAUGUCCCCACAAGACAGGUGUAUACACACACAUACAGAAAAUACAACAGCUAUGCUCCAAAUCUUUGUGUUAUUAUUAUUAGGACAGGAUACAUUAAUAGGGAAUGGAGUUUCAAAUGGACUGGGAACUUGGUGGUGGUGAUGAUAGGACGUUAAGCAACGCAAGCCAUCUUAAUAAAGGGGUUAGUAAAGAAAUUAAUAUGCAAAUAAUUAUGCAAAUGACUGCACUGUGUGAACUGAUGAUCAUUAAUUAUAUAGCCAUUCCUUAAUCAUAUAGUCAAAAUGAUAAUAAAAAGGACCACUGGGUGUGUUUUUUUAAACAAAGAGUAUUUAUUUUAUAUGGAAACGAAAGAAAAGGCUACAUUUUCCAAAAUAUUAAUGAAGAAUUAAAUAUUAAAAUGGUAAUACUGAGUAAAAAUAACCAAUAAAGAAUAGAGGAAAAUUAUGCAUUGUGUCAUUCUGUGUUAAAAUAAUUGUUAUAUUUUAGAGAUCUUUCUAAAUAAAACCUCUAUGGCAUUUGAACCUAGCUACAGUAUGGGUUGUAUGGUAACACCUGAAAUCACGUUAUUAUAAAUUAUACUGUUGAUAUCGGAUACCUUCAAAGCUUUGACUGAUUUAGUGUUUGGCAAGGACUUCAACCGUUUUGCUUUGCAUGGUUGGGAAUGUGUACAUAUGAACCUGUUGAACACAUGCAGGUACGUGUGUAAAGAAGCUCGCCAAGAUGAAGUCAGAACUAGACAUAUUAGCACAAUUUCUAGUCUUUGAAUGCCAGCAACAAAAUUAAAAUCAAAUGAGUUCACAAUUCCACAGCUGUAAAUGGAUAUCAGCACUUUUUGAUGAUAUUAUGCCCAAAAACCAAAAAAAAAAUCUUUAAAAUAUGACGUAUGGAUUAGAUUGCAUGGUGUAAAAAAAACAAACAAACAAAAAAAAAAAA
Molecule: non-coding RNA, 1233 nt
Organism: Electrophorus electricus (electric eel)
Lineage: Eukaryota; Metazoa; Chordata; Actinopteri; Gymnotiformes; Gymnotidae
Source: RefSeq, a predicted model, not a curated record